RNAcentral lists this ribosomal RNA (253 nucleotides) under uncultured bacterium. RNAcentral describes it as "partial 16S ribosomal RNA". It matches the Rfam family "Bacterial small subunit ribosomal RNA", at positions 524 to 776 of the family's 1533-position model. The record is from RNAcentral.
UACGUAGGAUCCGAGCGUUGUCCGGAUUUACUGGGUGUAAAGGGGGCGCAGGCGGACUGGUAAGUCAGUGGUGAAAUCUCGUCGCUUAACGACGAAACUGCCUUUGAUACUAUCAGUCUUGAAUCCGGUAGAGAUCUGUGGAAUUCCGAGUGUAGCAGUGAAAUGUGUAGAUAUUCGGAAGAACACCAGUGGCGAAGGCAGCAGAUUGGGCCGGUAUUGACGCUCAGGCACGAAAGCAUGGGGAUCAAACAGG